This 206-nucleotide ribosomal RNA is filed under the name uncultured bacterium. Its description in RNAcentral is "partial 16S ribosomal RNA". It matches the Rfam family "Bacterial small subunit ribosomal RNA", at positions 568 to 774 of the family's 1533-position model. The record is from RNAcentral.
UGCGUAGGCGGCAAUGCAAGUCAGAUGUGAAAAUCCAAGGCUCAACUUUGGAAAUGCAUUUGAAACUGCAUAGCUAGAGUACAGGAGAGGAAAGCGGAAUUCCUAGUGUAGUGGUGAAAUGCGUAGAUAUUAGGAAGAACACCAGUGGCGAAGGCGGCUUUCUGGACUGAAACUGACGCUGAGGCACGAAAGCGUGGGAGCGAACA